This 845-nucleotide ribosomal RNA is filed under the name Salmonella enterica. RNAcentral describes it as "partial 23S ribosomal RNA". It matches the Rfam family "Bacterial large subunit ribosomal RNA", at positions 1 to 886 of the family's 2925-position model. Lineage: Bacteria; Pseudomonadati; Pseudomonadota; Gammaproteobacteria; Enterobacterales; Enterobacteriaceae. The record is from RNAcentral.
GGUUAAGCGACUAAGCGUACACGGUGGAUGCCCUGGCAGUCAGAGGCGAUGAAGGGCGUGCUAAUCUGCGAUAAGCGCCGGUAAGGUGAUAUGAACCGUUAUAACCGGCGAUACCCGAAUGGGGAAACCCAGUGUGACUCGUCACACUAUCAUUAACUGAAUCCAUAGGUUAAUGAGGCGAACCGGGGGAACUGAAACAUCUAAGUACCCCGAGGAAAAGAAAUCAACCGAGAUUCCCCCAGUAGCGGCGAGCGAACGGGGAGGAGCCCAGAGCCUGAAUCAGCAUGUGUGUUAGUGGAAGCGUCUGGAAAGGCGCGCGAUACAGGGUGACAGCCCCGUACACAAAAGCGCAUGUGCUGUGAGCUCGAUGAGUAGGGCGGGACACGUGGUAUCCUGUCUGAAUAUGGGGGGACCAUCCUCCAAGGCUAAAUACUCCUGACUGACCGAUAGUGAACCAGUACCGUGAGGGAAAGGCGAAAAGAACCCCGGCGAGGGGAGUGAAAAAGAACCUGAAACCGUGUACGUACAAGCAGUGGGAGCACAGGUUUACCUGUGUGACUGCGUACCUUUUGUAUAAUGGGUCAGCGACUUAUAUUCUGUAGCAAGGUUAACCGUAUAGGGGAGCCGGAGGGAAACCGAGUCUUAACCGGGCGUUAAGUUGCAGGGUAUAGACCCGAAACCCGGUGAUCUAGCCAUGGGCAGGUUGAAGGUUGGGUAACACUAACUGGAGGACCGAACCGACUAAUGUUGAAAAAUUAGCGGAUGACCUGUGGCUGGGGGUGAAAGGCCAAUCAAACCGGGAGAUAGCUGGUUCUCCCCGAAAGCUAUUUAGGUAGCGCCUCGUG